AAGGAGUCUAACAUGUAUGCGAGUAUUUGGGUGGCAAACCCUUAUGUGUAAUGAAAGUGAAAAUGGUGGGAUAUUUGCACCAUCGACCGGCCUGGAUUUUUUUGAUAGGUCUGAGUAAGAGCAUAUAUGCUGGGACCCGAAAGAUGGUGAACUAUGCCUGAAUAGGGUGAAGCCAGAGGAAACUCUGGUGGAAGCUCGUAGCGAUUCUGACGUGCAAAUCGAUCGUCGGAGCUGGGUAUAGGGGCGAAAGACUAAUCGAACCAUCUAGUAGCUGGUUCCUGU
This 282-nucleotide unclassified non-coding RNA is filed under the name uncultured fungus. Its description in RNAcentral is "partial contains 5.8S rRNA, ITS2 and 28S rRNA". It matches the Rfam family "Eukaryotic large subunit ribosomal RNA", at positions 668 to 961 of the family's 3401-position model. Lineage: Eukaryota; Fungi. The record is from RNAcentral.